GUAGGGAAUAUUGGGCAAUGGUCGGAAGACUGACCCAGCCAUGCCGCGUGCAGGAAGACGGCCCUCUGGGUUGUAAACUGCUUUUAUCUGGGAAGAAAAAGGCCAUGCGUGGCAAAUUGCCGGUACCAGAUGAAUAAGCACCGGCUAACUCCGUGCCAGCAGCCGCGGUAAUACGGAGGGUGCGAGCGUUGUCCGGAUUUAUUGGGUUUAAAGGGUGCGUAGGCGGCUGAUUAAGUCAGCGGUGAAAGACUUCGGCUUAACCGGGGCAGUGGCGUUGAUACUGGUUGGCUUGAGUGUCGGAGGGGUACAUGGAAUUGAUGGUGUAGCGGUGAAAUGCAUAGAUACCAUCAGGAACACCGAUAGCGAAGGCAUUGUACUGGCCGACAACUGACGCUGAUGCACGAAAGUGUGGGGAUCGAACAGGAUUAGAAACCCGUGUAGUCC
Molecule: ribosomal RNA, 444 nt
Filed under: uncultured bacterium
Lineage: Bacteria
Description: partial 16S ribosomal RNA
Rfam family: Bacterial small subunit ribosomal RNA
Source: RNAcentral